This 95-nucleotide small RNA is filed under the name Klebsiella pneumoniae. Its description in RNAcentral is "partial RtT sRNA". It matches the Rfam family "RtT RNA", at positions 38 to 130 of the family's 130-position model. Rfam says of the family: This family represents a bacterial cis-regulatory element known as RtT RNA. Lineage: Bacteria; Pseudomonadati; Pseudomonadota; Gammaproteobacteria; Enterobacterales; Enterobacteriaceae. The record is from RNAcentral.
AAGGUUCGACUCGAGCGAAGCGAGAGAACGUUGCCACAGGCAACGGCCCGAAGGGCGAGGCGCUUUAGCGCCGAGUAAUCCUUCCCCCACCACCA